GUCAAUCAACUGAUCCAUCAAUCCAUGGAUUUCUGGACAGUCGGACAGCUGGGCAGCGGGCAGGAUGGGGGACUCUCGCUGAAGCCGCAUUCAUGUGUGUUCAGCUUUAGGCCCACCACUGUGCCCGGACCAGCGGCCUACUCGGUGAGUCGAACGUGCACCUGGCACCCCUCUUUUUGGAAAUCCACGAACACUGGGCUCCCAGCAGAGACUGAGGCUGAGCAGGCCACUUCCCUGGAGCUGACUCCACAGCUGUUUCUCUGUCUUUUGUUCCGGCUCUGGCCAUGCAACAAGCCUGCUCCUCUUUCACCUUCUGCCAUGACUGUAAGCUUCCUGAGGGCUGACCAGAAACCCAGCAGAUGCCAGCACCAUGCUUCCUAUACAGCCUGCAGAACUGCAAGCCAACUAAACCUCUUCUCAUGAAUUACUCAGCUUCAGAUUUAUCUUUAUAGCAAUGCAAGACCUGACUAUUACAACACAUGCUCCCCAAAAUAAAAAGAAAUAUUCAAACAAAUAGGCACAUAGGAGUCUUCCCAGUGGCACUAUUCACAGCAGACAAAAGGUGGCGGUAGCCACAGGCCUGUCAGCUGAUGAUAGAUAAAGAAAGCAUGGCCUGUCAUCCCAGCAUUUUAGGAGGCCGAGGCGGGCAGAUCACCUGAGGUCAGGAGUUCAAGACCAGCCUGGCCAACACGGUGAAACCCCGUCUCCACUAAAAAUAUAAAACUUAGCCAGGUGUGGUGAUGAGUGCCUGUAGUACCAGCUACUCGGGAGGCUGAGGCAGGAGAAUUGCUUGAACCCGGGAGGCAGAGGUUGCAGUGAGCUGAGAUCAUGCCAUUGCACUGCAGCCUGGGUAACAGAGUGAGACUCUGUCUCUAAAUAAAUGAAUAAAUAAAUGAAGUGCGGCAUAUCCAUGCAGGGGAAUAGCAUUCAGCCCUAAAAAGGGAUGAUGUGGGGACACGGGCGGUAACAUGAAGUGCCUGAAAACCCUGCUUGGCGGGAGAAGCAGACUCAGAGACCGCCGGUUGCACAAUUCCGCUGAUAGGAGAUGCACAGAGCGGCAGCUCCAUGGAGACAGAAAGCAGAUUCCGCGGUGCGGGGGUGGGGAGAGGAAUAGGAGUGACUGCCUAAUGGGCUCCAGAGCUCCUCAGGGGGUGACAAAAGUGUCUGGGGAGUAGACAGAGGUGGUGACUGCACAGUGUGGCAAAUGCACUAAAUGCCACUGAACCACACUCGUUAAAGUGGUCAUUUUAUGUCACGUGCAUUUCACCUGUUUUUAAAAAAAAAAAAAAAAACCAGUUCAGAGUCCAGCUCCAACCCUCUCUCAGUGACCUCUGCCCUGGGACACAGGGCCACCCAGACCGUGAGCUUGGGCCCCCUCGGGCUGCCCACUGAGGAGGGGCAGCUACUGCUGAGGUCUGACCUUGCCUCUCCUGAUGCCCCAGCCACACUUGGGAGAGAGGAAGGGUGGGGGGUGGCUGCCCUUCUGGCCAAAGACACUGUCCCAGGGCCAGUCACAGGUUUGCCAGGGAGGGCCGUAAGAGACCUCAGCGUUAGCACUGCCCAAGUCCGUCUGCUGCUGGCAUAUUCCCUGUGUGGGGACAGAGGAAUGCCCACUACCCCUAAGGAUGUCCAAGAAUCCGUGGCCAUGCCACCUUAUGUGGCAGCAGGGACUCUGCAGGAGGGACGGAGCCGGAUGCUGUGUGUGGGCCCAGUGUCCUCACAGGGUCCUUAGGAGAGGGGGUGGGAGGGUCAGAGUCAGGGGGAGCCUGGAAGACACAGCACAGCUGGAUUUAAGGUGGAGGAGGGGCCACGGGUGAAGGGGCGCAGGAGCCUCCAGGUCCCGGAGGGAGCAGUACCCGAAUUCUCCCCAGGGCCUCCAGCAGCCAGCCCUGCCAACACCUGGACUUUAGAUUUCUUUCCCUUUCGGAGCUGCAAGACAAUAAACUGUGGCUUUUGUUACAGCAGCCA
Cercocebus atys (sooty mangabey) is the source of this 1968-nucleotide long non-coding RNA. RefSeq lists it as uncharacterized. The record is from RefSeq and is a predicted model, not a curated record. NCBI's taxonomy places the organism in Eukaryota, Metazoa, Chordata, Mammalia, Primates, Cercopithecidae. The transcript is spliced from 3 exons.